CCAUGCAGUCGAGCGGCAGCACAGAGAACUUGUUUCUCGGGUGGCGAGCGGCGGACGGGUGAGUAAUGCCUGGGAAAUUGCCCUGAUGUGGGGGAUAACCAUUGGAAACGAUGGCUAAUACCGCAUGAUGCCUACGGGCCAAAGAGGGGGACCUUCGGGCCUCUCGCGUCAGGAUAUGCCCAGGUGGGAUUAGCUAGUUGGUGAGGUAAGGGCUCACCAAGGCGACGAUCCCUAGCUGGUCUGAGAGGAUGAUCAGCCACACUGGAACUGAGACACGGUCCAGACUCCUACGGGAGGCAGCAGUGGGGAAUAUUGCACAAUGGGCGCAAGCCUGAUGCAGCCAUGCCGCGUGUGUGAAGAAGGCCUUCGGGUUGUAAAGCACUUUCAGUCGUGAGGAAGGUAGUGUAGUUAAUAGCUGCAUUAUUUGACGUUAGCGACAGAAGAAGCACCGGCUAACUCCGUGCCAGCAGCCGCGGUAAUACGGAGGGUGCGAGCGUUAAUCGGAAUUACUGGGCGUAAAGCGCAUGCAGGUGGUUUGUUAAGUCAGAUGUGAAAGCCCCGGGCUCAACCUGGGAAUUGCAUUUGAAACUGGCAAACUAGAGUACUGUAGAGGGGGGGUAGAAUUUCAGGUGUAGCGGUGAAAUGCGUAGAGAUCUGAAGGAAUACCGGUGGCGAAGGCGGCCCCCUGGACAGAUACUGACACUCAGAUGCGAAAGCGUGGGGGAGCAAACAGGAUUAGAUACCCUGGUAGUCCACGCCGUAAACGAUGUCUACUUGGAGGUUGUGGGCCUUGGAGCCGUGGCCUUUCGGAGCUUAACGCGGUUAAAGUAGAACCGCCUUGGGGGAGGUACGGGUCGGCAGGAUUAAAACUCCAAAGGGAAUUUGAACGGG
Molecule: ribosomal RNA, 891 nt
Filed under: uncultured bacterium
Lineage: Bacteria
Description: bacterial SSU rRNA
Rfam family: Bacterial small subunit ribosomal RNA
Source: RNAcentral